AACGCGGAGGAAAGGGGCGUGGUCUGCAGGAAAGACAACCGCGGGACUGAGGGAUUGUGACAGACUUUCACUUCUUAACUUUGAUCGUGUUAAUUAAUGUAUCGCUUUUCUGUCAGUGCCGAUUCACUUUUUUGUUUGAUCUUACCUUUAUUAUCCUCAUUAGAGGGAUUAUGCUCAUUAAACACAUGUAUUGUGUGUUGUUGAUGAUGGAAAUUGACCAGUGCUGUUGAACUGGCGCCUGCUGGAGACUGCAUCUUCAAAGAUGUAUCUUCUAACUUCAUCAUAGACGAAGAUGAGCAGCGAAUAUGGGAAGGCACAGAACCACCAACAUGGUCUAAAACAUAAUGUUCAAUACACAUUACAAGGUCAGCUAGAAUAAAAAUGAAAUA
Molecule: long non-coding RNA, 389 nt
Organism: Carassius gibelio (silver crucian carp)
Lineage: Eukaryota; Metazoa; Chordata; Actinopteri; Cypriniformes; Cyprinidae
Exons: 3
Source: RefSeq, a predicted model, not a curated record